RNAcentral lists this ribosomal RNA (497 nucleotides) under uncultured bacterium. RNAcentral's name for it is "partial 16S ribosomal RNA". It matches the Rfam family "Bacterial small subunit ribosomal RNA", at positions 28 to 507 of the family's 1533-position model. The record is from RNAcentral.
GAUGAACGCUGGCGGCGUGCCUAAUACAUGCAAGUCGAGCGAACAGACGAGGAGCUUGCUCCUCUGACGUUAGCGGCGGACGGGUGAGUAACACGUGGAUAACCUACCUAUAAGACUGGGAUAACUUCGGGAAACCGGAGCUAAUACCGGAUAAUAUAUUGAACCGCAUGGUUCAAUAGUGAAAGACGGUUUUGCUGUCUCUUAUAGAUGGAUCCGCGCCGCAUUAGCUAGUUGGUAAGGUAACGGCUUACCAAGGCAACGAUGCAUAGCCGACCUGAGAGGGUGAUCGGCCACACUGGAACUGAGACACGGUCCAGACUCCUACGGGAGGCAGCAGUAGGGAAUCUUCCGCAAUGGGCGAAAGCCUGACGGAGCAACGCCGCGUGAGUGAUGAAGGUCUUCGGAUCGUAAAACUCUGUUAUUAGGGAAGAACAAAUGUGUAAGUAACUAUGCACGUCUUGACGGUACCUAAUCAGAAAGCCACGGCUAACUACGUG